RNAcentral lists this ribosomal RNA (457 nucleotides) under uncultured bacterium. Its description in RNAcentral is "bacterial SSU rRNA". It matches the Rfam family "Bacterial small subunit ribosomal RNA", at positions 30 to 481 of the family's 1533-position model. The record is from RNAcentral.
AUUGAACGCUGGCGGCAUGCCUUACACAUGCAAGUCGAACGGCAGCACGGGAGCUUGCUCCUGGUGGCGAGUGGCGAACGGGUGAGUAAUGCAUCGGAACGUGCCCUGAAGUGGGGGAUAACGUAGCGAAAGUUACGCUAAUACCGCAUAUUCUGUGAGCAGGAAAGCAGGGGAUCUUCGGACCUUGCGCUUUUGGAGCGGCCGAUGUCGGAUUAGCUAGUUGGUGGGGUAAAGGCCCACCAAGGCGACGAUCCGUAGCGGGUCUGAGAGGAUGAUCCGCCACACUGGAACUGAGACACGGUCCAGACUCCUACGGGAGGCAGCAGUGGGGAAUUUUGGACAAUGGGCGCAAGCCUGAUCCAGCCAUGCCGCGUGAGUGAAGAAGGCCUCGGUUGUAAGCUCUUCGGUGGGAAGGAAGUUAGCUUGGGUUAAUACCCUGAGUAGAUGACGGUACCGU